This 87-nucleotide transfer RNA is filed under the name Candidatus Falkowiibacteriota bacterium. RNAcentral describes it as "tRNA-Ser". It matches the Rfam family "tRNA". Rfam says of the family: Transfer RNA (tRNA) molecules are approximately 80 nucleotides in length. Their secondary structure includes four short double-helical elements and three loops (D, anti-codon, and T loops). The record is from RNAcentral. Lineage: Bacteria; Candidatus Falkowiibacteriota.
GGAGGCGUGCCUGAGUGGUUGAAAGGGGCAUUCUCGAAAAAUGUUGUUCCGGCAACGGAACCGAAGGUUCGAAUCCUUCCGCCUCCG